RNAcentral lists this ribosomal RNA (495 nucleotides) under uncultured bacterium. RNAcentral describes it as "partial 16S ribosomal RNA". It matches the Rfam family "Bacterial small subunit ribosomal RNA", at positions 28 to 507 of the family's 1533-position model. The record is from RNAcentral.
GACGAACGCUGGCGGCGUGCCUAAUACAUGCCAGUCGAACGCUGAAGGAGGAGCUUGCUUCUCUGGAUGAGUUGCGAACGGGUGAGUAACGCGUAGGUAACCUGCCUGGUAGCGGGGGAUAACUAUUGGAAACGAUAGCUAAUACCGCAUAAGAGUAGAUGUUGCAUGACAUUUGCUUAAAAGGUGCAAUUGCAUCACUACCAGAUGGACCUGCGUUGUAUUAGCUAGUUGGUGGGGUAACGGCUCACCAAGGCGACGAUACAUAGCCGACCUGAGAGGGUGAUCGGCCACACUGGGACUGAGACACGGCCCAGACUCCUACGGGAGGCAGCAGUAGGGAAUCUUCGGCAAUGGACGGAAGUCUGACCGAGCAACGCCGCGUGAGUGAAGAAGGGUUUCGGAUCGUAAAGCUCUGUUGUAAGAGAAGAACGAGUGUGAGAGUGGAAAGUUCACACUGUGACGGUAGCUUACCAGAAAGGGACGGCUAACUACGUG